CAUGCAAGUCGAGCGGAUGAGUGGAGCUUGCUCCAUGAUUCAGCGGCGGACGGGUGAGUAAUGCCUAGGAAUCUGCCUGGUAGUGGGGGACAACGUUUCGAAAGGAACGCUAAUACCGCAUACGUCCUACGGGAGAAAGUGGGGGAUCUUCGGACCUCACGCUAUCAGAUGAGCCUAGGUCGGAUUAGCUAGUUGGUGAGGUAAAGGCUCACCAAGGCGACGAUCCGUAACUGGUCUGAGAGGAUGAUCAGUCACACUGGAACUGAGACACGGUCCAGACUCCUACGGGAGGCAGCAGUGGGGAAUAUUGGACAAUGGGCGAAAGCCUGAUCCAGCCAUGCCGCGUGUGUGAAGAAGGUCUUCGGAUUGUAAAGCACUUUAAGUUGGGAGGAAGGGCAGUAAGUUAAUACCUUGCUGUUUUGACGUUACCAACAGAAUAAGCACCGGCUAACUUCGUGCCAGCAGCCGCGGUAAUACGAAGGGUGCAAGCGUUAAUCGGAAUUACUGGGCGUAAAGCGCGCGUAGGUGGUUCGUUAAGUUGGAUGUGAAAGCCCCGGGCUCAACCUGGGAACUGCAUCCAAAACUGGCGAGCUAGAGUAUGGCAGAGGGUGGUGGAAUUUCCUGUGUAGCGGUGAAAUGCGUAGAUAUAGGAAGGAACACCAGUGGCGAAGGCGACCACCUGGGCUAAUACUGACACUGAGGUGCGAAAGCGUGUGGAGCAAACAGGAUUAGAUACCCUGGUAGUCCACGCCGUAAACGAUGUCGACUAGCCGUUGGGAUCCUUGAGAUCUUAGUGGCGCAGCUAACGCAUUAAGUCGACCGCCUGGGGAGUACGGCCGCAAGGUUAAAACUCAAAUGAUGACGGC
RNAcentral lists this ribosomal RNA (866 nucleotides) under Stutzerimonas stutzeri. RNAcentral's name for it is "bacterial SSU rRNA". It matches the Rfam family "Bacterial small subunit ribosomal RNA", at positions 54 to 917 of the family's 1533-position model. Lineage: Bacteria; Pseudomonadati; Pseudomonadota; Gammaproteobacteria; Pseudomonadales; Pseudomonadaceae. The record is from RNAcentral.